RNAcentral lists this ribosomal RNA (435 nucleotides) under uncultured bacterium. RNAcentral describes it as "bacterial SSU rRNA". It matches the Rfam family "Bacterial small subunit ribosomal RNA", at positions 355 to 796 of the family's 1533-position model. The record is from RNAcentral.
UCGAGGAUCUUCGGCAAUGGGCGCAAGCCUGACCGAGCGACGCCGCGUGUGCGAUGAAGGCCUUCGGGUUGUAAAGCACUGUCGAGGGGGAGGAAGCUCCGCAAGGGGUUGACCUAUCCCUGGAGGAAGCACGGGCUAAGUUCGUGCCAGCAGCCGCGGUAAGACGAACCGUGCGAACGUUGUUCGGAAUCACUGGGCUUAAAGGGCGCGUAGGCGGUCGAUCAAGUCCGGGGUGAAAUCUUUCGGCUUAACCGGAAAAGUGCCUUGGAUACUGAUCGGCUGGAGGGAGGUAGGGGCAGCUGGAACUUCCAGUGGAGCGGUGAAAUGCGUUGAUAUUGGAAGGAACUCCGGUGGCGAAAGCGAGCUGCUGGACCUCUUCUGACGCUGAGGCGCGAAAGCUAGGGGAGCAAACGGGAUUAGAUACCCCUGUAGUCC